AUGUUGGGUUAAGUCCCGCAACGAGCGCAACCCUUCGACCUUAGUUGCCAGCAUUCAGUUGGGCAACUCUAAGGUGACUGCCGGGCUAAAAGUCGGAGGAAGUGGGGAUGACGUCAAAUCAUCAUGCCCCUUAUGACCUGGGCUACACACGUGCUACAAUGGGCGGUACAAAGGGUCGCGAACCCGCGAGGGGGAGCCAAUCCCAAAAAGCCGCUCUCAGUUCGGAUUGCAGGCUGCAACUCGCCUGCAUGAAGCCGGAAUCGCUAGUAAUCGCGGAUCAGCAUGCCGCGGUGAAUACGUUCCCGGGCCUU
Molecule: ribosomal RNA, 311 nt
Filed under: uncultured Anoxybacillus sp.
Lineage: Bacteria; Bacillati; Bacillota; Bacilli; Caryophanales; Anoxybacillaceae
Description: bacterial SSU rRNA
Rfam family: Bacterial small subunit ribosomal RNA
Source: RNAcentral